AAUUGCCGCAAUUUCCAAUUAUCGUGAGAAUUGUCGUUGUUUCUAGAACCGCGUCAGGUAUCGUGACUUAUUUUUUUUAUUUAAGCAGUCAACCUGAUAAAAUCUGUUAACACGCAUAGACCUGUCUCACUAUCCGCCAAAGCCUUUAAGUCCAAAUAAAAGAACAAAAGCAUCACCACAUAACCAUUUCAGCAGCAACCAAAAAAUGCUAGCAAACUCCCACAACAUCACAACGGCAACACCUGCUAACAGCCCUCAAAGUACAACAGAUGAUUUACUCAAUUGUUAUAAUUAACUACCUCACAACCAAGAAAAAUCAAAUCAAAAAGAAAAAUCAAGUCAUUAUACCUGACGUUGUACUGGAAAUAACGGCAAUUCUCACGAUAUUUGAAAUCAUGACGAUUCUAGCGAAAAUUGAAAAAUGUGGCAAUUGGAAACGACAAAAUUGAACAAUCAAA
RNAcentral lists this long non-coding RNA (458 nucleotides) under Medicago truncatula (barrel medic). RNAcentral's name for it is "long non-coding RNA (MTRU_LNC004305)". The record is from RNAcentral. Lineage: Eukaryota; Viridiplantae; Streptophyta; Magnoliopsida; Fabales; Fabaceae.